ACGUGAUCUCCUGAUAGGUGUGAGACACCACCAAUUGAAUUCGUCCAUGUAAAAAGAAGGCUAACUUGUGCUCUUUCCUUCCCAGUGUUCCUCAAUGUGUAAACAAAAACUGAUGUAGGAAGACUGCUCUCGCUGUAGUCAUGUGGGAUGAACGGUGAUAUUUGACGACAAGAAACUUUCAGUUCUGGAUCUGGUUCACCAUCAUAUACUGUCCAAGCCCGAGGAAAGAGUGCAUGAUAUGUAGAAUGCUGUCCACUUAGAUUCCAG
RNAcentral lists this unclassified non-coding RNA (267 nucleotides) under Hevea brasiliensis (rubber tree). Lineage: Eukaryota; Viridiplantae; Streptophyta; Magnoliopsida; Malpighiales; Euphorbiaceae. The record is from RNAcentral.